RNAcentral lists this unclassified non-coding RNA (253 nucleotides) under uncultured Planctomycetales bacterium. Its description in RNAcentral is "contains 16S-23S intergenic spacer region". It matches the Rfam family "Bacterial small subunit ribosomal RNA", at positions 524 to 776 of the family's 1533-position model. Lineage: Bacteria; Pseudomonadati; Planctomycetota; Planctomycetia; Planctomycetales. The record is from RNAcentral.
UACGAACUGUGCGAACGUUAUUCGGAAUCACUGGGCUUACAGGGUGCGUAGGCGGCCUUCCAAGUCAGGUGUGAAAUCCCCCAGCUCAACUGGGGAACUGCGCUUGAAACUGGAGGGCUGGAGGCAACUAGAGGUGCAUGGAACUUCCGGUGGAGCGGUGAAAUGUGUUGAUAUCGGAAGGAACACCAGAGGCGAAAGCGAUGCACUGGGGUUGAUCUGACGCUGAGGCACGAAAGCCAGGGGAGCGAACGGG